AGUGUGGAUGUCGUGUGAGUCUGACAAAUCCCACACUGAGAUAGAUAUUAUUGGAUAGAAUGGAGUACAUUAUGCCAAUGAAAAGAACACUGGAUUCGUUUCAAAAGUUUUGAACACUCCGGAAUGUCCUCCUUGAAUACCGUCGUGAAACUCAUGAAGGAUCAAGGGAAGAAAGUGUGAUGCUUGCGGAAUCAACAAGCAACAUUUGAACCAAACGCGUCCAUUAAUCAUAACAACAUGAACACUUAAGGACAUAUACACAAGCUGCUACCGAUCCACCGACUGCAUUUGACACAAAAAACCAUCGGCUGCCUUGUGUUUCUUCUUGGGCAAUUAAACCCCGUUGCAACAUAGCAUAAUGGCAUUGGCAGGAACGUGACCUCAUUGAACAUAACGUCGUCAUUGGCGAAUUCUCUGGUUAAUUAAAGGAGUUAGAAUUGGGCCAAAUUGUGUUGGAUUCUAUUUUGUACACAACGAAAAACAUUUAGUGUCCUUUUUUGAUCUGUCAUU
This is a long non-coding RNA of Brassica rapa (field mustard), 510 nucleotides long. RefSeq lists it as uncharacterized. The record is from RefSeq and is a predicted model, not a curated record. Lineage: Eukaryota; Viridiplantae; Streptophyta; Magnoliopsida; Brassicales; Brassicaceae.